AUGACAAUGGCCGAUGCGAAGGAGAGUGUGUCAGAAAAUGGUGUUGAGUGUGGUGGAAUGGUGGAGCUUGGAGGCCGAGGUAUUGGUUUUAGUGUUGUGGUGCAUUUUGGUGGAGGUGGACUUGAGGGGAUUUUGAGGUUGCUUAUGGUGCUGAUGGGAGGUUCACGAAAUGAAGCGGAGGGAGACGGAGGGAGAUCGGAAGUUGUGUUGUCUGGCGAUUGUUUGAGUUGUAGAAUGAGAGGAGGUUGA
This is a non-coding RNA of Vicia faba (fava bean), 249 nucleotides long. NCBI's taxonomy places the organism in Eukaryota, Viridiplantae, Streptophyta, Magnoliopsida, Fabales, Fabaceae. The record is from the annotation of a GenBank genome assembly.